This is a long non-coding RNA of Episyrphus balteatus (marmalade hoverfly), 410 nucleotides long. RefSeq lists it as uncharacterized. Lineage: Eukaryota; Metazoa; Arthropoda; Insecta; Diptera; Syrphidae. The record is from RefSeq and is a predicted model, not a curated record. The transcript is spliced from 3 exons.
UCUAGGUUUUGUGACUUUUGAUUGUCACAAAAAAAAAAACAAUUUAAUUAUUUACAAAAAUUGUUCAAGGAGUUUUGAGUUUCCCAAGAAUAAAAAGGCGUCCCCGACCUAAAAACAGAACCAACACAAUUCCUUGACAUUCAUUUGGAAUCCCUACAUGAAAUGGGACCUUGGAACCUAAAGAAGCAGAGCUAGAGCAUCGCCGACAAGAAGAUGUCUUAAAACGUUACAGCUCAAAGAAGGAAUCGAUUUGCCAACAUAGCUGAGACUGCGCUCGCUAAAGAAAGAUUUCAGAAUGAAGGCUAGAUAGCGUUAGAAGGUAACUCACUUGUGAAGCUCUUCAAUAGGAAAAUGCGAUCACGAAAAAGUUUGAACCCCCCAAACCAGACCUGAAUUGAAGACUUUUCAAG